This 421-nucleotide ribosomal RNA is filed under the name uncultured bacterium. RNAcentral's name for it is "bacterial SSU rRNA". It matches the Rfam family "Bacterial small subunit ribosomal RNA", at positions 29 to 498 of the family's 1533-position model. The record is from RNAcentral.
AACGAACGCUGGCGGCAGGCCUAACACAUGCAAGUCGAACGAGAUCUUCGGGGUGAGCGGCGGACGGGUUAGUAACGCGUGGGAACGUGCCCAGAUCUAAGGAAUAGCCACUGGAAACGGUGAGUAAUACCUUAUACGCCCUUCGGGAAAGAUUUAUCGGAUUUGGAUCGGCCCGCGUUAGAUUAGAUAGUUGGUGGGGUAAUGGCCUACCAAGUCUACGAUCUAUAGCUGGUUUUAGAGGAUGAUCAGCAACACUGGGACUGAGACACGGCCCAGACUCCUACGGGAGGCAGCAGUGGGGAAUCUUGGACAAUGGGCGCAAGCCUGAUCCAGCCAUGCCGCGUGAGUGAUGAAGGCCUUAGGGUCGUAAAGCUCUUUCGCCAGAGAUGAUAAUGACAGUAUCUGGUAAAGAAACCCGGCU